This 1290-nucleotide ribosomal RNA is filed under the name Barbatosphaeria dryina. RNAcentral describes it as "eukaryotic LSU rRNA". It matches the Rfam family "Eukaryotic large subunit ribosomal RNA", at positions 1 to 1325 of the family's 3401-position model. Lineage: Eukaryota; Fungi; Ascomycota; Sordariomycetes; Barbatosphaeriales; Barbatosphaeriaceae. The record is from RNAcentral.
UUGACCUCGGAUCAGGUAGGAAUACCCGCUGAACUUAAGCAUAUCAAUAAGCGGAGGAAAAGAAACCAACAGGGAUUGCCCUAGUAACGGCGAGUGAAGCGGCAACAGCUCAAAUUUGAAAUCUGGCCUCGGCCCGAGUUGUAAUUUGUAGAGGAUGCUUUUGGCGCGGUGCCUUCUGAGUUCCCUGGAACGGGACGCCAGAGAGGGUGAGAGCCCCGUAUAGUUGGACACCUAGCCUCUGUAAAGCUCCUUCGACGAGUCGAGUAGUUUGGGAAUGCUGCUCAAAAUGGGAGGUAAAUUUCUUCUAAAGCUAAAUACCGGCCAGAGACCGAUAGCGCACAAGUAGAGUGAUCGAAAGAUGAAAAGCACUUUGAAAAGAGGGUUAAACAGCACGUGAAAUUGUUGAAAGGGAAGCGUUUGUGACCAGACUUGGGCCCUGCAAAUCAUCCGGCGUUCUCGCCGGUGCACUUUGCUGGGUCCAGGCCAGCAUCGGUUUUCCCAGGGGGAUAAAAGUUUGGGGAACGUAGCUCCUUCGGGAGUGUUAUAGCCCCUUGCACAAUACCUCUGGGGGGACCGAGGACCGCGCAUUGCAAGGAUGCUGGCGUAAUGGUCAUCAGCGACCCGUCUUGAAACACGGACCAAGGAGUCAAGCAUUAGGGCGAGUGUUUGGGUGUAAAACCCGCACGCGUAAUGAAAGUAAACGUAGGUGAGAGCUUCGGCGCAUCAUCGACCGAUCCUGAUGUAUUCGGAUGGAUUUGAGUAAGAGCCUUAACGCUUGGACCCGAAAGAUGGUGAACUAUGCCUGUAUAGGGUGAAGCCAGAGGAAACUCUGGUGGAGGCUCGCAGCGGUUCUGACGUGCAAAUCGAUCGUCAAAUAUGGGCAUGGGGGCGAAAGACUAAUCGAACCAUCUAGUAGCUGGUUACCGCCGAAGUUUCCCUCAGGAUAGCAGUGUUGUUUUCAGUUUUAUGAGGUAAAGCGAAUGAUUAGGGACUCGGGGGCGCUUUUUAGCCUCCAUCCAUUCUCAAACUUUAAAUAUGUAAGAAGCCCUUGUUGCUUAAUUGAACGUGGGCAUUCGAAUGUAUCAACACUAGUGGGCCAUUUUUGGUAAGCAGAACUGGCGAUGCGGGAUGAACCGAACGCGGGGUUAAGGUGCCGGAGUGGACGCUCAUCAGACACCACAAAAGGCGUUAGUACAUCUUGACAGCAGGACGGUGGCCAUGGAAGUCGGAAUCCGCUAAGGACUGUGUAACAACUCACCUGCCGAAUGUACUAGCCCUGAAAAUGGAUGA